UCCGAUAUGGUCUAGUGGCUAGGAUUUGCCGCUCUCAUCAGAGUAGUCCGCUCUCAGCGCCGGCAAGGCCCGGGUUCGAUUCCCGGUGUCGGAA
Molecule: transfer RNA, 94 nt
Filed under: Parastagonospora nodorum SN15
Lineage: Eukaryota; Fungi; Ascomycota; Dothideomycetes; Pleosporales; Phaeosphaeriaceae
Description: Phaeosphaeria nodorum SN15 tRNA-Glu for anticodon CUC
Rfam family: tRNA
About the family: Transfer RNA (tRNA) molecules are approximately 80 nucleotides in length. Their secondary structure includes four short double-helical elements and three loops (D, anti-codon, and T loops).
Source: RNAcentral